UAGAUCCCGACGUCGCCAUUGCGCUCUCACAGCCCCCUAGGGCACGAUCGGAUUUCAGUUCGAUGAGCGCGGCAGGGCGAGCGCGGGAAUUUACUUUUGGUCGCGCCCUCGCAUAAUAAAUACCAGUCCUUUCCUUUCGCCUCUUCACCUUUCUUGUAUCGGAGACGAAAAUGGGGAGAAAGAAGAGAACCAGGGCUGCAGAAGAAGGCGAACGCGAGGAGCAAGGAAUCCGAGGAAGCGAGGCAUCCACCGCCACAGAGAAGAGCUUGUACGAGAUUCUUGGUGUAGAGAGAACUGUAACUCAACAGGAAAUAAAGAAGGCAUACUACAAGUUGGCUUUGCGUCUCCAUCCAGACAAAAAUCCUGGUGAUGAGGAAGCUAAAGAGAAAUUCCAGCUCUUGCAAAAAGUGAUAUCUGUUCUUGGGGAUGAGGAGAAAAGGACGAUUUAUGAUCAGACUGGUUGUGUUGAUGAUGUUGCCUUAUCCGGGGAAGCUGCUGAAAAUCUACAGGAGUUUUUCAGAUCAAUGUUUAGACAGGUGACUGAGGCUGAUAUUGAAGAAUUUGAAGCUAACUACAGAGGAUCAGAUUCUGAGAAGAAGGAUUUGAAGGAUCUCUACACUAAAUUCAAGGGAAAUAUGAACAGGCUUUUUUGUUCAAUGCUUUGUUCUGAUCCGAAGCUGGAUUCACACCGAUUCAAGGAUAUCAUUGAUGAAGCGAUAGCUGAAGGUGAACUGAGAACGACAAAAGCAUAUCAAAAAUGGGCAAAACUAGUGUCUGAAACCAAGCCACCUACAGAUCCUAUAGCAAAAAGGGGAAAGAAGAAGAAGCAACCAUCAACAGAUCUAGUUGCCAUCAUUUCACAGCGUAGUAGCCAGAGGAAAGAGCAGUUUAACUCUAUACUCUCAUCCAUAAUGUCUAAGUACAAUGGGGAAGUUACUCCAGAACCAACAGAAGAAGAGUUUGAGAAGGCCCAGCAAAGGCUUGAAAGCAAGCAGGCAAAAAGACGGAAACCCUAAUGAAGCAAUGCUGUGGAGUCUUCUCUGGUGACAGUUCUAACUGGAACCUGGUCCUAUGUGAGGUAUCGGUGUUAUCAAGAAUGGUUGAUAGCUGAAGUUAACAGUUCUCUCGCACCUAGCGGAUCUUCUACAUACUGCCAGGAGUAAGCUGAGGGAUAAUUAUGAGAUUACUUGACUUCCUGGAAUGGUCUAUGGUUACUGUUGAAGACGUAAUGGCAGCCAGAAUUCUUGACAGCUUUCUUAACUAGUAAACCGCUUGCACGCUGCACGGGAAUCUCAGGAGAACCUAAUGAGACGAGCAUAUAUGAAAAUCUGAAUAAUUUAUGACAGAAAAAAACAUGAACUGUUUACACAUUUGAUAAUGUUGAUUAGUGUACAACUAUGUACGCUGCUAAAGUAGUAUGCAGUAUCAGGACUUACUCUGACAUGAAUCUAUAUACAAUUUGUAUUAAGUUCAAAACAAAUAAGAAAUU
Phoenix dactylifera (date palm) is the source of this 1489-nucleotide RNA transcript. It is a transcript of the gene named J-domain protein 6, with no coding region annotated. NCBI's taxonomy places the organism in Eukaryota, Viridiplantae, Streptophyta, Magnoliopsida, Arecales, Arecaceae. The record is from RefSeq and is a predicted model, not a curated record.